AAUAGAUACCCCGGUAGUCCACACCGUAAACGUUGGGCGCUAGGUGUGGGAUCCAUUCCACGGGUUCCGUGCCGUAGCUAACGCAUUAAGCGCCCCGCCUGGGGAGUACGGCCGCAAGGCUAAAACUCAAAGGAAUUGACGGGGGGCCCGCACAAGCGGCGGAGCAUGCGGAUUAAUUCGAUGCAACGCGAAGAACCUUACCUGGGUUUGACAUACACCGGAAAGCAUCAGAGAUGGUGCCCCUUUUUGUCGGUGUACAGGUGGUGCAUGGCUGUCGUCAGCUCGUGUCGUGAGAUGUUGGGUUAAGUCCCGCAACGAGCGCAACCCUCGUCCUAUGUUGCCAGCACGCCCUACCAGUUCGGCUGGGGGUGGUGGGGACUCAUGGGAGACUGCCGGGGCCAACUCGGAGGAAGGUGGGGAUGACGUCAAGUCAUCAUGCCCCUUAUGUCCAGGGCUUCACGCAUGCUACAAUGGCCGGUACAGAGGGCUGCGAUCCCGUGAGGGGGAGCGAAUCCCUAAAAGCCGGUCUCAGUUCGGAUUGGGGU
This 545-nucleotide ribosomal RNA is filed under the name uncultured bacterium. RNAcentral describes it as "bacterial SSU rRNA". It matches the Rfam family "Bacterial small subunit ribosomal RNA", at positions 777 to 1304 of the family's 1533-position model. The record is from RNAcentral.